This 960-nucleotide ribosomal RNA is filed under the name Diplectanum aequans. RNAcentral describes it as "bacterial SSU rRNA". The stretch from base 1 to 501 matches the Rfam family "Eukaryotic small subunit ribosomal RNA", at positions 1355 to 1831 of the family's 1831-position model. Lineage: Eukaryota; Metazoa; Platyhelminthes; Monogenea; Dactylogyridea; Diplectanidae. The record is from RNAcentral.
AUAGUACGCCCGCAAUAUUAUGUGGAAUCCCGCUUAGGGGCUUCGGCCUCUCUGCGGGCCCACGUAAGCAGGUGAGACUUCUUAGAGGGACUGGUGUCCUACAAGGCGCACGAGAAAGAGCAAUAACAGGUCUGUGAUGCCCUAAGAUGUUCGGGGCCGCACGCGUGCUACAAUGACGAUGCUAAUGAGUUUGAUAUUCUGGCUCGGAAGGGUCGGGCAAACUUGUUAAUCAUCGUCGUGUCUGGGAUUGGGGUUUGUAAUUAUCCCCCAUGAACCAGGAAUUCCUAGUAAGUACAAGUCAUAAGCUUGUGCUGAUUACGUCCCUGCCCUUUGUACACACCGCCCGUCGCUACUACCGAUUGAACGGUUUAGCAAGGUCAUUGGAUCGGCUCUCAUGCGGCGCUUGUCGCUGAGGACUGAAAAGAUGACCGAACUUGAUCGUUUAGAGGAAGUACAAGUCGUAACAAGGUUUCCGUAGGUGAACCUGCGGAAGGAUCACUAUGUAUUAUACCAAAAACCAAAACACAAUCUUCUUCGCAAAAUGUGAAAAAGACUACGGUGCGCAGGCCUGCUCUCACGGGUGAGGACUGAUGCACAUGGGAUACAGAAACCAAGUCCACUAAGUAUGCCAUCUGGGCGAUCGAGGUUUGACUUAAUUUCGCGCAUGCUUUGCAAUGGUAGCGCGUGUCCGACCUCAUCGUUCCAGGAAUAUUGUCAUAUAGCAUACCAGUGGGCCACCAUUGCAAAAAAACCGUUGUUCUACGAAAUCUUUGUUCGCAUCUGGAAGUAAUCGGAAUAAACUGUAACUUGAAACGCUGGCAGUUGUGCCAUGUGCGUGGCAGUGGCCUAUGACUUAGCAUGUAAUGCAUCAGUGUAUUAUAUGUGUUUGACGUUGUGUUUGCCAUCCCGCUAUUGACAUAUAUUGUUGGCCAGAGAGUUGCUUACGUACAACUACAUGUG